RNAcentral lists this unclassified non-coding RNA (215 nucleotides) under Hevea brasiliensis (rubber tree). The record is from RNAcentral. Lineage: Eukaryota; Viridiplantae; Streptophyta; Magnoliopsida; Malpighiales; Euphorbiaceae.
GGAAAUUUCAUUGUAAUCAAUUUUUACAGAAUCAGCAGUUUGUAUCCUUCUAACUAUUGCCUGUAAAAAGUAGAAAAAGAACAGAGAAGCUAAAUCAAAGGCAUUUCAUUGCUUCAGCAACUAAUUUCUGGAUAAUAUCCCAUAAGAACUUGGCAGAUAUAUCUCUAAGUUACAAACAGCUAAAUUUCUAAGAAAAAGUUUUUUCGAACUGUAGC